This 459-nucleotide ribosomal RNA is filed under the name uncultured bacterium. RNAcentral describes it as "bacterial SSU rRNA". It matches the Rfam family "Bacterial small subunit ribosomal RNA", at positions 340 to 793 of the family's 1533-position model. The record is from RNAcentral.
UACGGGGGCAGCAGUGGGGAAUAUUGCACAAUGGGCGCAAGCCUGAUGCAGCCAUGCCGCGUGUAUGAAGAAGGCCUUCGGGUUGUAAAGUACUUUCAGCAGUGAGGAAGGUGGAUAUGUUAAUAGCAUAUUCAUUUGACGUUAGCUGCAGAAGAAGCACCGGCUAACUCCGUGCCAGCAGCCGCGGUAAUACGGAGGGUGCGAGCGUUAAUCGGAAUUACUGGGCGUAAAGCGCAUGCAGGUGGUUUGUUAAGUCAGAUGUGAAAGCCCGGGGCUCAACCUCGGAAUUGCAUUUGAAACUGGCAAACUAGAGUACUGUAGAGGGGGUAGAAUUUCAGGUGUAGCGGUGAAAUGCGUAGAGAUCUGAAGGAAUACCGGUGGCGAAGGCGGCCCCCUGGACAGAUACUGACACUCAGAUGCGAAAGCGUGGGGAGCAAACAGGAUUAGAUACCCUGGUAG